Molecule: ribosomal RNA, 207 nt
Filed under: uncultured bacterium
Lineage: Bacteria
Description: partial 16S ribosomal RNA
Rfam family: Bacterial small subunit ribosomal RNA
Source: RNAcentral
CGCGUAGGCGGGCUGCGACGUCCGGGGUGAAAUCCUCCCGCUCAACGGGAGAACGGCCUCGGGUACGGGCGGCCUCGAGGGGGGUAGGGGCGUGCGGAACUGUGGGUGGAGCGGUGAAAUGCGUUGAUAUCCACAGGAACUCCGGUGGCGAAGGCGGCACGCUGGACCCCAUCUGACGCUGAGGCGCGAAAGCCAGGGGAGCGAACG